GGUUCUUGGCCCAGCGGCAGAGCACCUGCCUUGCAUGCAGAAGGCCCCAGGCUCAAUCCCCAGCAUCUCCC
Podarcis lilfordi (Lilford's wall lizard) is the source of this 71-nucleotide non-coding RNA. NCBI's taxonomy places the organism in Eukaryota, Metazoa, Chordata, Lepidosauria, Squamata, Lacertidae. The record is from the annotation of a GenBank genome assembly.